CCCAAGAAGACCUGCCUAAGGAGGAAUAAUGUAAGGAGAAUAAGUCUGCCUUGGAAUCUGGGCUGUAUUCUGAAGGAGAGACACUUAGCAAUUGGCCUGUCUCCAACCUCCAACUGUAACUCUCCCCAAACACGGCCCAGCAAUCCAACCAU
Molecule: long non-coding RNA, 152 nt
Organism: Myxocyprinus asiaticus (Chinese sucker)
Lineage: Eukaryota; Metazoa; Chordata; Actinopteri; Cypriniformes; Catostomidae
Exons: 3
Source: RefSeq, a predicted model, not a curated record